RNAcentral lists this ribosomal RNA (173 nucleotides) under uncultured bacterium. RNAcentral describes it as "partial 16S ribosomal RNA". It matches the Rfam family "Bacterial small subunit ribosomal RNA", at positions 1328 to 1500 of the family's 1533-position model. The record is from RNAcentral.
GGAAUCGCUAGUAAUCGCAGAUCAGAAUGCUGCGGUGAAUACGUUCCCGGGUCUUGUACACACCGCCCGUCACACCAUGGGAGUCGGAAAUGCCCGAAGCCGGUGACCCAACCAAAAGGAGGGAGCCGUCGAAGGCAGGUCUGAUAACUGGGGUGAAGUCGUAACAAGGUACC